GGGUGAACGCUGGCGGCGUGCCUAAGACAUGCAAGUCGUGCGGGCCAUGGGGUUUUACUCCGUGGUCAGCGGCGGACGGGUGAGUAACGCGUGGGUGACCUACCCGGAAGAGGCGGACAACCUGGGGAAACCCAGGCUAAUCCGCCAUGUGGUCCUGUCCUGUGGGGUAGGACUAAAGGGUGAAUAGCCCGCUUCCGGAUGGGCCCGCGUCCCAUCAGCUAGUUGGUGGGGUAAAGGCCCACCAAGGCGACGACGGGUAGCCGGUCUGAGAGGAUGGCCGGCAACAGGGGCCCUGGGACCCGGGCCCCCCCCCUCCGGGGGGCAGCAGUUAGGAAUCUUCCCCAAUGGACGGAAGUCGGACGGGGGGACGCGCUUUGGGGGGGGAGGCCCUUCGGGGUGUAAACUCUGGAACGGGGGACCAAGGCCCCGGAUGGGGGGAGGGCGGAACCCAGGUAAAGACCCCGGCCAACCCCGG
This 475-nucleotide ribosomal RNA is filed under the name uncultured bacterium. RNAcentral's name for it is "partial 16S ribosomal RNA". It matches the Rfam family "Bacterial small subunit ribosomal RNA", at positions 27 to 506 of the family's 1533-position model. The record is from RNAcentral.